UUCGGGAACUCUGACACAGGUGCUGCAUGGCUGUCGUCAGCUCGUGUCGUGAGAUGGUUGGGUUAACGUCCCGUAACGAGCGCAACCCUUGUCCUUAGUUACCAGCACGUUAUGGUGGGCACUCUAAGGAGACUGCCGGUGACAAACCGGAGGAAGGUGGGGAUGACGUCAAGUCAUCAUGGCCCUUACGGCCUGGGCUACACACGUGCUACAAUGGUCGGUACAAAGGGUUGCCAAGCCGCGAGGUGGAGCUAAUCCCAUAAAACCGAUCGUAGUCCGGAUCGCAGUCUGCAACUCGACUGCGUGAAGUCGGAAUCGCUAGUAAUCGUGGAUCAGAAUGUCACGGUGAAUACGUUCCCGGGUCUU
This 366-nucleotide ribosomal RNA is filed under the name uncultured Pseudomonas sp. RNAcentral describes it as "bacterial SSU rRNA". It matches the Rfam family "Bacterial small subunit ribosomal RNA", at positions 1019 to 1382 of the family's 1533-position model. Lineage: Bacteria; Pseudomonadati; Pseudomonadota; Gammaproteobacteria; Pseudomonadales; Pseudomonadaceae. The record is from RNAcentral.